GGAGGAACUGCCUGUAAGCGGCCGUGGAGCUCAUCCCUCCCUCCCAGAGAAAAGAGAGAACGAGAGAGGGGGACGGAGGAGCGUCAAGAGAGAGCAAUGAUUGAAAGAAGUAGCGGCUGCCUGUUGGAUCAACAUACUGCAGCAGAUUACGGAGCAGCAGACGAGAAGGGGGCUCUCAAACACCCACUUUAUUCUCUUUUACUAAUUUUGCUGCACAGUCUUGCUCUCACCACCGUCUCAUGCAUGUGUUCCUCUACUAAUGUCAAUAUUUUAGCUGACAGUACGCCUCUGCACUCAUCUGUCACUAAGCCAACUGUCUCAUGUUUACUACUGUCAGUUGUUUGGAGAGUUAAGUCAUCGUAAGUCUGGUGCACUGACUAAAUAUCAGAUAUACUGGAUGCGUAUUUGGAUGAUAAAGCUAAACUGUACACUUUCAGUUGUCUUUACAAUUAAUCAUUUAGUCUGCAAAAUAUCAAAAAAAAAUACUGAAAAAGGCCCAUUGCAUGGUGCAUUUUCCCAUAGCAGUGAUGUUUGCUUUAAUCCCCUGUGUUGUCCAUCCAAACAAUGCCUGACACAUUAAAAUAUAUGAAUGAUAAAGCAAUAAAAUAUUAUAUUCUGAUCAGUCUUGUUUAAA
Molecule: long non-coding RNA, 634 nt
Organism: Dicentrarchus labrax (European seabass)
Lineage: Eukaryota; Metazoa; Chordata; Actinopteri; Moronidae
Exons: 2
Source: RefSeq, a predicted model, not a curated record